Molecule: long non-coding RNA, 696 nt
Filed under: Capsicum annuum
Lineage: Eukaryota; Viridiplantae; Streptophyta; Magnoliopsida; Solanales; Solanaceae
Description: long non-coding RNA (CANN_LNC016936)
Source: RNAcentral
UUGAUCUCUAUUUUGUGCUCUAAGUAGUAGCUUCUCUACUUCGUUAAUUCUAGAUUUCACAAAAUUAUUCGAAGUAUUCUUUAUUAAAAGAUAGAUUUCUCUACCAUAUUUUCUCAAAUUUAUUAAAGCUUCAUUAAUCCUUCUUAUAAUUAUUAUGGUUUCCCAAAAUUUUCUUCUAAGUUUUUGUAAUUGUGGUUGUACCACUCUCAUGAUAAUAAAUAUAAACAAUUCAUAAUUUUAUAUUCCCUAUAGGUACUUAGUAAUAUGUAUGAAGGUAUAGAGUAAAUAUGAAAAUAGACUUUUCUUAUGCUAAUAUGUUCAUGAAAUGGUAGAUUUUAUGCAUAUAUCUUUCGACUUUCUUUUAUGUUAGCUAUAUCAACACCACAGUGCUUCUCCUUCCAGAUAUGAAGAACUUUUUAGCCUAUUGUGACUCACUGUCUUAGGCUACUGCUCCAUCCUUCCCCCGUUAAGGCUGAAGAUCGCAACCUUCAUUUUUUACCAGCACAAAAGAUUGGCAAAGGAUAUAUGAAACAAACUUUUUAUUUCUUGAACAUAUUACAACGUAGGAAAAAUCUUUAAUCAGAUUUUCUUUAUACUUACAUACACACUAUUUAUUACCUUUCCCUGACGGGAGAGGUGUCUCUUACUUACUCAUGUAGAAGAUACCUAGCAUUUUUCAAAGAAAGAGAAUAUUCA